CAUUAAUAUACACUAACGUGUAUAUACGGCCGUUUCAAUUUUUGAUUUUCCAUUAGAAAAAAUGUUCCGCCGCCUAGUGCAUAUUGUGGCGCCCUCAAACGACAGAUCUCGUGCUAUUUCUGUCAAAUUAAUUGUCGAGUUGAAACAUGGUUGAAACUGACAUUGACAACAAAUUUUACUCGAAGCAUAAAAAAAAGCAGUUUGGUUCAGAUAAUAAGGUUUUUUUUUUAAUUUUAUCACAAAACACAGUUUAAAAUUUAAUGCAAAUCUCUUGACAGAAUCUGUGGUCUCCAAGCAAAGAUUGCUGAGAACUGGCUUUACAGUCGUUUUGAUUAUAUAUUUGCACACAGAAUCCCUGUGAUUUGCACAGACGAAAAUGGGAUUUUGCACAAGAAAUGGCAACAUUUGCUGGAUGCUUUCAGCUAUCAGCUGAAUAAUACCAACAAAGAUAUCUUUGGGAUAGACUAAACCUCCUCGGUUUUGAAUGGCAAUCAAUUGUAGCAAAGGACCUGGAAUGCUAGUACAUAAUAGAGGUGUUAAACAUUCAUCACAAUGAAAUAAAUCUUCUAAUUUUUUUAUUAUGUAUCCUGCCAAGAAAGCUACUGAUGCUGAGAAAAUAUUAUUAUCAGCAGUGUUUGAGGAAUGGGAAGCUUUAACAAUCCCACAACGAAGAAUUUGCCUUAAUGCAUAAUCUGCAGCUCUGGCAUCUGUGGCAUCAUUAGAACCACCUUUCAGUCUUACAUGUGAAAACAUGGCCUCUACUGCGUCUGAGCUGAAGGAUCGCGUUACAACAUAAUAGAAGCCAACCUGGCUUAGCAAAAAAUUUACACAGAGUAAGACCUUUAAAUCCAACAUCUACAGAAGUCUUCUGGAUAUCGUCAAUAUACUUUGGAAAUGUGACAUUUAACCAGUCAAGACGUUCAUCUGAAAUAUGCACAUAUGGUGCAAUA
Zophobas morio is the source of this 950-nucleotide long non-coding RNA. RefSeq lists it as uncharacterized. Lineage: Eukaryota; Metazoa; Arthropoda; Insecta; Coleoptera; Tenebrionidae. The transcript is spliced from 5 exons. The record is from RefSeq and is a predicted model, not a curated record.